Molecule: ribosomal RNA, 253 nt
Filed under: uncultured bacterium
Lineage: Bacteria
Description: partial 16S ribosomal RNA
Rfam family: Bacterial small subunit ribosomal RNA
Source: RNAcentral
UACAGAGGGGGCAAGCGUUGUUCGGAAUUACUGGGCGUAAAGGGCGCGUAGGCGGCCUGUUAAGUCGAACGUGAAAGCCCCGGGCUCAACCUGGGAAUGGCGAUGGAUACUGGCGGGCUAGAGUGCGGUAGAGGAGAGUGGAAUUCCCGGUGUAGCAGUGAAAUGCGUAGAGAUCGGGAGGAACAUCAGUUGCGAAGGCGGCUCUCUGGACCAGCACUGACACUGAGGCACGAAAGCGUGGGGAGCAAACAGG